Molecule: ribosomal RNA, 497 nt
Filed under: uncultured bacterium
Lineage: Bacteria
Description: partial 16S ribosomal RNA
Rfam family: Bacterial small subunit ribosomal RNA
Source: RNAcentral
GAUGAACGCUGGCGGCGUGCCUAAUACAUGCAAGUCGAGCGAACAGACGAGGAGCUUGCUCCUCUGACGUUAGCGGCGGACGGGUGAGUAACACGUGGAUAACCUACCUAUAAGACUGGGAUAACUUCGGGAAACCGGAGCUAAUACCGGAUAAUAUAUUGAACCGCAUGGUUCAAUGGUGAAAGACGGUUUUGCUGUCACUUAUAGAUGGAUCCGCGCCGCAUUAGCUAGUUGGUAAGGUAACGGCUUACCAAGGCAACGAUGCGUAGCCGACCUGAGAGGGGGAUCGGCCACACUGGAACUGAGACACGGUCCAGACUCCUACGGGAGGCAGCAGUAGGGAAUCUUCCGCAAUGGGCGAAAGCCUGACGGAGCAACGCCGCGUGAGUGAUGAAGGUCUUCGGAUCGUAAAACUCUGUUAUUAGGGAAGAACAAAUGUGUAAGUAACUAUGCACGUCUUGACGGUACCUAAUCAGAAAGCCACGGCUAACUACGUG